RNAcentral lists this transfer RNA (89 nucleotides) under Gloeomargaritales cyanobacterium VI4D9. RNAcentral's name for it is "tRNA-Gly". Lineage: Bacteria; Bacillati; Cyanobacteriota; Cyanophyceae; Gloeomargaritales. The record is from RNAcentral.
GUGGGUGUAACCUUAAAACCCCGUAUUCAUGGUUAUGGCAUUACAGCUUCCCAAGCUGAACGUCGUGGGUUCGAGUCCCAUCGCCCGCU